AGAGUUUGAUUAUGGCUCAGGAUGAACGCUAGCGACAGGCUUAACACAUGCAAGUCGAGGGGCAGCAUAGAAGUAGCAAUACUUGGUGGCGACCGGCGCACGGGUGAGUAACGCGUAUGCAACCUACCUAUCAGAGGGGAAUAACCCGGCGAAAGUCGGACUAAUACCGCAUAAAACAGGGGCACCGCAUGGUGAUAUUUGUUAAAGAAAUUCGCUGAUAGAUGGGCAUGCGUUCCAUUAGGUAGUUGGUGAGGUAACGGCUCACCAAGCCGACGAUGGAUAGGGGAACUGAGAGGUUGGUCCCCCACACUGGUACUGAGACACGGACCAGACUCCUACGGGAGGCAGCAGUGAGGAAUAUUGGUCAAUGGGCGGGAGCCUGAACCAGCCAAGUCGCGUGAAGGAAAGAAGGAUCUAUGGUUCGUAAACUUCUUUUGCAGGGGAAUAAAGUGCAGGACGUGUCCUGUUUUGUAUGUACCCUGAGAAUAAGGAUCGGCUAACUCCGUGCCAGCAGCAGC
RNAcentral lists this ribosomal RNA (518 nucleotides) under uncultured bacterium. RNAcentral describes it as "bacterial SSU rRNA". It matches the Rfam family "Bacterial small subunit ribosomal RNA", at positions 8 to 518 of the family's 1533-position model. The record is from RNAcentral.